UAGGGAAUCUUCCACAAUGGACGCAAGUCUGAUGGAGCAACGCCGCGUGAGUGAAGAAGGUCUUCGGAUCGUAAACUCUGUUGUUAGAGAAGAACACGAGUGAGAGUAACUGCUCAUUCGAUGACGGUAUCUAACCAGCAAGUCACGGCUAACUACGUGCCAG
This 163-nucleotide ribosomal RNA is filed under the name uncultured bacterium. Its description in RNAcentral is "partial 16S rRNA". It matches the Rfam family "Bacterial small subunit ribosomal RNA", at positions 355 to 511 of the family's 1533-position model. The record is from RNAcentral.